GUCAGAGGCGAUGAAAGACGUAGUAACUUGCGAUAAGCCCAGAUUAGGUAGUAACAACCAUUUGAGUCUGGGAUUUCUGAAUGGGGAAACCCACUUACAUAAGUAAGUAUCAUUAACUGAAUACAUAGGUUAAUGAGGCGAACCGGGGGAACUGAAACAUCUAAGUACCCCGAGGAAAAGAAAUCAACCGAGAUUCCGAAAGUAGCGGC
Molecule: ribosomal RNA, 209 nt
Filed under: Vibrio parahaemolyticus
Lineage: Bacteria; Pseudomonadati; Pseudomonadota; Gammaproteobacteria; Vibrionales; Vibrionaceae
Description: partial 23S ribosomal RNA
Rfam family: Bacterial large subunit ribosomal RNA
Source: RNAcentral